RNAcentral lists this unclassified non-coding RNA (336 nucleotides) under soil metagenome. RNAcentral describes it as "partial contains 5.8S ribosomal RNA, internal transcribed spacer 2, and large subunit ribosomal RNA". The stretch from base 1 to 120 matches the Rfam family "5.8S ribosomal RNA", at positions 35 to 154 of the family's 154-position model. The record is from RNAcentral.
GAUGAAGAACGCAGUGAAAUGCGAUAAGUAAUGUGAAUUGCAGAAUUCAGUGAAUCAUCGAAUCUUUGAACGCACAUUGCGCCCGCCAGUAUUCUGGCGGGCAUGCCUGUUCGAGCGUCAUUUCAACCAUCAAGCCCCCGGCUUGUGUUGGGGACCUGCGGCUGCCGCAGGCCCUGAAAAGCAGUGGCGGGCUCGCUGUCACACCGAGCGUAGUAGCAUACAUCUCGCUCUGGGCGUGCUGCGGGUUCCGGCCGUUAAACCACCUUCAUAACCCAAGGUUGACCUCGGAUCAGGUAGGAAUACCCGCUGAACUUAAGCAUAUCAAUAAGCGGAGGA